AUGCAGGUCGCCGUGCGCAUCGGUGGUUGCAAGCUCGUUGCUUUGAUCGACUCCGGCAGCACCCAUAACUUCAUCAACGAGGAUCUCGCCGCUUUUGUCGGAGCACCCUUCUUGGAUGGGUGCCGCCUCCGUGUCACGGUCGCCAACGGCGACCACAUCAUUUGUUGGGGCCUUCUCCGACAUGUCACCAUCACCAUUGACAAGGAAGCUCCUAGAUGGCCUCCUGGCCUUUCCCGGCAUGCCGCCAUCACAAUCGACAAGGAAGCUCCUGGAUGGCCUCUUGGCCUCCUUCGCAGACACCUUCGCUGA
Molecule: ribosomal RNA, 309 nt
Filed under: Triticum aestivum (bread wheat)
Lineage: Eukaryota; Viridiplantae; Streptophyta; Magnoliopsida; Poales; Poaceae
Description: partial small subunit ribosomal RNA
Source: RNAcentral